UCACUGGAGAGUUUGAUCCUGGCUCAGGACGAACGCUGGCGGCGUGCCUCAAACAUGCAAGUCGAGCGAGGGUUGGCGCGUAGCCAACUACGCGUUUCAACUCUAGCGGCGAACGGGUGAGUAA
This 124-nucleotide ribosomal RNA is filed under the name Pseudomonadota bacterium. RNAcentral's name for it is "partial 16S ribosomal RNA". It matches the Rfam family "Bacterial small subunit ribosomal RNA", at positions 1 to 113 of the family's 1533-position model. The record is from RNAcentral. RNAcentral also lists the same sequence under 1 other name. Lineage: Bacteria; Pseudomonadati; Pseudomonadota.